This 72-nucleotide transfer RNA is filed under the name Desulfitobacterium metallireducens DSM 15288. It matches the Rfam family "tRNA". From Rfam's summary of the family: Transfer RNA (tRNA) molecules are approximately 80 nucleotides in length. The record is from Rfam by way of RNAcentral. Lineage: Bacteria; Bacillati; Bacillota; Clostridia; Eubacteriales; Desulfitobacteriaceae.
GGCGGUAUAGCCAAGUGGUAAGGCAAAGGUCUGCAAAACCUUUAUCCCCAUGUUCGAUUCUGGGUACCGCCU